RNAcentral lists this ribosomal RNA (1502 nucleotides) under Salmonella enterica subsp. enterica. Its description in RNAcentral is "16S ribosomal RNA". It matches the Rfam family "Bacterial small subunit ribosomal RNA". Lineage: Bacteria; Pseudomonadati; Pseudomonadota; Gammaproteobacteria; Enterobacterales; Enterobacteriaceae. The record is from RNAcentral.
AAAUUGAAGAGUUUGAUCGUGGCUCAGAUUGAACGCUGGCGGCAAAUUUCUUUUAUGCAAGUCGAACGGUAACAGAAGCAGCUUGCUGCUUUGCUGACAGUGGCGAACGGGUGAGUAAUGUCUGGGAAACUGCCUGAUGGAGAGGUUGCUACUGGAAACGGUGGCUAAUACCGCAUAACGUCCUUAAAGACCAAGAGGGGACCUUCGGGCCUCUUGCCAUCAGAUGUGCCCAGAUGGGAUUAGCUGGUUGUGGUGGUAACGGCUCACCAAGGCGACGAUCCUAGCUGUGAGAGGAUGACCAUACACUGGAACUGAGACACGGUCCAGGCUCCUACGGGGAGGCAGCAGUGGGGAAAUAUUGCACAAUGGGCGCAAGCCUGAUGUAAACCAUGCCGCGUGUAUGAAGAAGGCCUUCGGGUUGUAAAAGUACUUUCAGCGGGGAGGAAGGUGUUGUGGUUAAUAACCGCAGCAGUGACGUUACCCGCAGAAAAGCUUUCAACUAACUCCGUGCAGCAGCCGCGGCCAAUACGGAGGGUGCAAGCGUUAAUCGGAAUUACUGGGCGUAAGCGCACGCAGGCGGUCUGUCAAGUCGGAUGUGAAAUCCCCGGGCUCAACACACAGGAACUGCAUUCGAAACUGGCAGGCUUGAGUCUUGUAGAAAUUGUUAAAUUCGGGUGUAGCGGUGAAAUGCGUGAGAUCACGGAGGAAUACCGGUGAGCGGCCCCACUGGACGAACUGACGCUCAGGUGCGAAAGCGUGGGAGCAAGCAGGAUUAGAUACCACGGUAGUCCACGCCGUAAACGAUGUCUACUUGGAGGUUGUGCCCACAUGAGGCGUGGCUUCGAGCUAACGUUAAGUAGACCGCACAGGGGUGGCCGCAAGGUUAAAACUCAAAUAGUGAGCGAGGGCCACAAGCGGUGGAGCAUGUGGUUUAAUUCGUGCAACGCGAAGAACGCUUACAGUCUUGACAUCCACAGAACUUUCAGAGAUGGACUGGUGCCUUCGGGAACUGUGAGACAGGUGCUGCAUGGCUGUCAGCUCGUGUUGUGAAAAUGUUGGGUUAAGUCCGCAACGGCACAACCCUUAUCCUUUGUUGCCAGCGGUUAGGCCGGGAACUCAAAGGAGACUGCCAGUGAUAAACUGGAGGAAGGUGGGGAUGACGUCGACUCAUCAUAGCCCCUUGACGAGGGGCUACACACGUGCUACAAUGGCGCAUACAAGAAGCGACCUCGCGAGCAAAGCGGACCUCAUAAAGUGCGUCGUAGUCCCGGAUUGGAGUCUGCAACUCGACUCCAUGAAGUCGGAAUCGCUGGUAAUCGUGGAUCAGAAUGCGGUAGACCGUUCCCGGGCCUUGUACACACCGCCCGUCACACACCAUGGGAGUGGGUUGCAAAAAGUAGGUAGCAACACCUUCGGGAGGCGCUUACCACUUUGUGAUUCAUGACUGGGUGAAGUCGUAACAAGGUAACAGCGGGAACCUGCGAGGUUGGAUCACCUCACUU